AUGUGUAUCGUUGAUGUGUUUAUAUUUACUUACUGUAUGGUGAUGGCAAGAAGCAGAAAAAUUUUGAAAUACUGGUUUCUUAUCGCUGUUUUAGUAGUUAUUUUCAUUGCUGAAAUCGUACCCCAUUUAACUGCUGAUGGCGGUUUACCGUGGCCCGACACCAGUGCGAAGUAUGGGACAGUACCAGUCGUAUUUCUUUUAAGUGGCUUAACUCUUCCAACCGAUAAUCUGAUGACUGCUGCUAAACAGUAUGAUUUACAUUUCGUCACCCAGUGUUUUUCACUUGUAUUUACUCCACUCUUCGUCAAACUUUUGACUGUUAUUCUUGCGCCAACUGGUGUGGAUGAUUGGAUUAUGAAAGGUUUUAUCAUUUCUAGCAGUAUGCCUGUCUCAUCGUCAUCCGUCGUGGCUACUAUUUGUGCAGACGGCAACGAGGCAGCUGCAAUAGUAAACUGUAUUGUAGGUGCACUUCUUGGAAUGAUAACGACGCCACUUAUAUUGUUAAUACUGAUAAGAUCAGCAGCAGUGGUUUCACCUGUCAAAUCAUUGCAUGACCUAAUUCUCACUGUGGGCAUACCACUGCUUGUUGGACAAAUUGUUCGCAAAGUAACUGGAAUGAGACUGCAACACAGUAUUGCAUUGAAGAUUAGACAGUUGGCGUUACUGAUGACUGUGUUUAUAACAUUUUGUGACAUAUUUAUGUCACAUCUAGAUGUAGAAUUACAGCCCAUUAAUGUACUAGUUUCAGUUUUCUCAGUGGUAAUUCUACAAAUGACAUUGCUACUUCUCAUUUUUUGGACAACCAGAUAUCUGCCAUCAAAGUUUUCACUACAGGACACAAAGGCAAUUAUGUUCUGUUCAACACACAAGUCUCUCUCCCUUGGAAUUCCGAUUCUAAGGACGAUGUACUCUGGUUAUGGGCAUCUUUAUAGUGCAUCACUGCCAUUGUUGCUGUACUAUCCAAGUCAAAUCAUACUGGGAGAACUGCUUGGACAGCACAUGAAAAACUGGGUGAAUUGGGAUUCUGGACAUGAUAAGUAACAAAAUUAAGUCUCAUGGUGCAUCUGGAUGAAUAUAUUCAAUGAAGAUGCAAAUUUACGUCUGUCAUCAUGCAGAAAGACCCAGGAGAACUGAUUAAUCAUAAGAAUGUUGUUUCAGUGUACUUCGAUUACAGCUUCUUCAACCUAUCUCAACUGGUUUGAAAUUUAAUUCCAAAAGGAAUUUGUGAGGUUAAAUUUUCCCAGUAUAAUGUAUGGUGCUAUAAAACAUUGAAAUUUUUUGGUUAAUAUGAUGAAGAGAAUAAUGCAACAUAUUUGGAGAGGAUACAUUAUGUAGAGAAGCCCAAAUGGAGUACCCAGUUUGGUGAGCACAUCCUGUUUGGCAGUAUGAAAUGUGACUUGAAUUAAGCUGUAGAUAUUAGGGAUGAAAUUGUUUGAUCAAUUCUUUGUUGCAUUCUGUGCAUGUAGCAUUGAAGAUUUAGACUUAGAAAUCCCAUUUGCAUUGUAGAACAUAUAGCUGAUAGGAGAAGAAAAAAUCAUUUCACUGCACACAAGCUUCAAAUUGAAAAAAGGAUCUGUAUUAUUUUGUGAGAAAUAAGAUGAUUUCAAUAAUUAAGAUUUUUGUGCUGUAUAAUUCCUAAUGUGGCUACAGAGUAGUUACGUAAUGCAGCACAACCGCAGAAAAAGAAGCAGAUUUUUUGUUUCAAGUUUGAUAUAAUGAUACAUCUCACUGCUCUACAGGAAGCUGCACUUAAACUUAUUGCCAGGUGUCAAAAAGGAAGAAAACAUCACCUGUGAAAGCCUUCAGUGUAGGUUCAAAUGAAGUAACACUUCCUUUGCAUUUACAAAAAUUAUUGAAGUAAAAUACUAAUGGGGAAAAAAUAUAAUGUCAACAGAAAAUUGAUGCAAGAAUUCAGUGACCUGUAAAUGAGUAGUCUAAUGUAAUUAUACAUUGUUGAAUUUUUCUGUGAGACAGCAUAGUAGUCACGUGUUUCAGAAAGGAAAAUUUGUAUAAUCUUCAAGACUGAAAUCAAAAUAUUUGGAGGUGGGUCCAUGGCACAAAUAUAUGUGGACUGAAGUAUGGAUCACCAUAUUUUGUGACAAAAGCAAGCAGAUUGGUACCAGUGUAGCUGAAUGUUACUUUGUAGUACUUGGUGGCUAAUUAACGAUGACAAGCUGGAGACUUGUCAAACUGACACACUAUCAGUAGAACAGCAUUAAAAUUAAUGGCAAGGAAGUUGAACAAUAAAAUUGAUGGAGCAUGAGUUUUGGAAUAACUGGAGACUAUAUUCAGUAGCAUUAAAUAACAGAUCAAGUUUAGGGACAGUAAGAGGUUUCAGUUGUCUCCCAACCUCACCUAUAUAGAAGGAGAUUUUUAACAGGUUAGUUUUAAUAGCUUGUUAUAAGUAGUGCAAGCAUAGUAGUGGCAAGGCUACAAACAGUAGAUCCAAGUGGACAUUAGUGUAAGUAAAUAGAUGCAAAGCAUAAAUAAGAAC
RNA transcript from Schistocerca cancellata (South American locust), 2494 nucleotides. It is a transcript of the gene named sodium/bile acid cotransporter 7-like, with no coding region annotated. The transcript is spliced from 7 exons. The record is from RefSeq and is a predicted model, not a curated record. Lineage: Eukaryota; Metazoa; Arthropoda; Insecta; Orthoptera; Acrididae.